This 253-nucleotide ribosomal RNA is filed under the name uncultured bacterium. RNAcentral's name for it is "partial 16S ribosomal RNA". It matches the Rfam family "Archaeal small subunit ribosomal RNA", at positions 474 to 727 of the family's 1478-position model. The record is from RNAcentral.
UACCCGCAGCACAAGUGGUGGUCAUUAUUAUUGGGCCUAAAGCGUCCGUAGCUGGCGUGUUAGAUGCCUGGGUAAAUCGAUGCGCUCAACGUAUCGAAUUCCGGGUAGACCGGCACGCUCGAGACCGGGAGAGGUGUAGGCUACUCGCGGGGUAGGGGUAAAAUCCUGUAAUCCUGCGGGGAGGACCAGUGGCGAAGGCGCUACACUAGAACGGCUCUGACAGUGAGGGACGAAGCCCUGGGGCGCAAACAGG